RNAcentral lists this ribosomal RNA (136 nucleotides) under uncultured eukaryote. RNAcentral describes it as "partial 18S ribosomal RNA". It matches the Rfam family "Eukaryotic small subunit ribosomal RNA", at positions 1299 to 1458 of the family's 1831-position model. The record is from RNAcentral.
UGGUGGAGUGAUCUGUCUGGUCAAUUUCGGUAACGAGCGAGAUCCCUAUGUGAUAGUUGCACUGGGCGGGUGUUCCUGUGCCAGUGUUCCUAUCCAGACCGUCUGCGUAAGCUGAAGGAAGUUGGGGGCUAAAUCA